GUUUGCUAAAAUUUUCAAGAUUCCUCGUCACAUCGAAUUUUUAGUCGCAUGUAUGGAGUAUUAAAUAUAGAUGAAAAUAAAAACUAAUUGCACUGUUUACUGUAAUUUGUAAGAUGAAUCUUUUGAGCCUAAUUAUUUUAUAAUUGGACAAUGUUUGUCAAAUAAAAAUGAAAGUGCUACAGUAACCAAAAACUGAAAUUUUUGCGAACUAAACAAGGCCUGAGAAAUGAAAAUAAAAAAAAGAAAAAACAAAGAAAUAACUAUAGUGAUGUUCACGUAAUAUAUAUACGAUGUUCUUUAAAUUUUUUCUUUGUUACAUAUUUUUAUUUUUUUCCUUAUGCUUUGCUCUAGGUAUUAUUUGUAUUACAUUAUAUAUUUAUUUAUUUUCAUGUAUAUUAUAGUAUCAAUUUCUUAUGAAUCUAGAAUAUUGCCUCUGCUCAAAUUCAUAUAUAUAUAUAUUUUCAUGUAUAUUAUAGUACCAAUUCAUGUAUAUUAUAGUACCAAUUUUUUAUUUAUUUUCACGUAAUAUAUAUACGAUGUUCUUUAAUGUAAUUAUUGAUGUUCUAUAGUGUAUUUAGUUUUUUUCACGUAAUAUAUAUGCGAUGUUCUAUAACAUAUUUUAGCGAUGUUCACAUAGUAUACAUAUAGUGUUCUAUGAUGUAUUUAGUGAUGUUCACACAAUAUAUAUGCGAUGUGAUGUUCUAUAAUUUAUUUAGUGAUGUUCUAUGGUGUAUUUAGUAAUGUUCACUUACUACAUAUGUGAUGUUUUAUAUGAUAUUUUCAGUAUACAAAAUGAUAGAAUAAAAAAUUAAUAUACUCUGACAAAAUAGGGAUGUGCGUGCGAAAAAUCUGACGAAAUAAAGAAAUAACUUUAACUAAAUAUAUAGUAAAAAAAUAUUAAUAUUAAUAAUACAUAAUUAGGGUAUUGUAGUAUUUUCGUUUGUUUGUAGCAAAUUAGUUUUUGUUUUCUUCUAUAUUUAGUGCUUCAUGCAUGUGCCACAAUAUGUAAAUGUGAUAUAAUAUUCGUUCCCUCUUUCUUCCUUCUUCCGGAUCGACGUCUCUCUGUCGUGGUCACCGAAGUCCCCGUCGAGUCUCCGCACGGACCGCCGUCUCACCGCCUUCAAACUACAGGUAUGUCUAGAGAUGGAUCUAGUAGUGGUACAAUUAGUGCUAUAAUUAGUGGUACAAUUAGUGGUAUAAAUUGGUGGUACAAUUAUGAUAUAUUUAAUUAUUAGCAAAUGAUAUACUCUAAACCCUAAACCUAAGCCCUAAGCCCUAAGACCUAAGCCCUAAAUCCUAAACCCUAAACCCUAACCCCUAAACCCGAAACCCUAAACCCUAGUUUUAUAUAUUGUUUCCUUGUCAGGUAUACACAGUAGUGCUAGUAGUCCUGCGUCACAUAUUUCUGCAGAAAUGGCCGACCCGAGAGAACACGAAGAGGAAAUGAUGAACCUGAUCUGCGGUCCCAAUGAAGAAGUUUA
RNAcentral lists this long non-coding RNA (1481 nucleotides) under Sorghum bicolor (sorghum). RNAcentral's name for it is "long non-coding RNA (SBIC_LNC011830)". Lineage: Eukaryota; Viridiplantae; Streptophyta; Magnoliopsida; Poales; Poaceae. The record is from RNAcentral.